RNAcentral lists this ribosomal RNA (478 nucleotides) under uncultured bacterium. RNAcentral describes it as "partial 16S ribosomal RNA". It matches the Rfam family "Bacterial small subunit ribosomal RNA", at positions 28 to 523 of the family's 1533-position model. The record is from RNAcentral.
GACGAACGCUGGCGGCGUGCUUAACACGUGCAAGUCGAACGGUAAGGCCCUUCGGGGUACACGAGUGGCGAACGGGUGAGUAACACGUGGGUGAUCUGCCCUGCACUUCGGGAUAAGCCUGGGAAACUGGGUCUAAUACCGGAUAGGACCACUGCCUGCACAGGCGGUGGUGGAAAGCUUUUGCGGUGUGGGAUGGGCCCGCGGCCUAUCAGCUUGUUGGUGGGGUGAUGGCCUACCAAGGCGGCGCAGGGUAGCCGGCCUGAGAAGGUGACCGGGCACACUGGGACUGAGCUACGGCACAGACUCCUACGGGAUGCAGCAGUGGGGAAUAGUGCACAAUGGGCGCAAGCCUGAUGCAGCGACGCCGCGUGGGGGAUGACGGCCUUCGGGUUGUAAACCUCUUUCAGCACCGACGAAGCGCAAGUGACGGUAGGUGCAGAAGAAGGACCGGCCAACUACGUGCCAGCCGCCGCAGUAA